AGUGAACGCUGGCGGUAGGCCUAACACAUGCAAGUCGAACGGCAGCACAGUAAGAGCUUGCUCUUACGGGUGGCGAGUGGCGGACGGGUGAGGAAUACAUCGGAAUCUACUUUUUCGUGGGGGAUAACGUAGGGAAACUUACGCUAAUACCGCAUACGACCUACGAGUGAAAGCAGGGGAUCUUCGGACCUUGCGCGAUUGAAUGAGCCGAUGUCGGAUUAGCUAGUUGGCGGGGUAAAGGCCCACCAAGGCGACGAUCCGUAGCUGGUCUGAGAGGAUGAUCAGCCACACUGGAACUGAGACACGGUCCAGACUCCUACGGGAGGCAGCAGUGGGGAAUAUUGGACAAUGGGCGCAAGCCUGAUCCAGCCAUACCGCGUGGGUGAAGAAGGCCUUCGGGUUGUAAAGCCCUUUUGUUGGGAAAGAAAAGCAGCAGGUUAAUACCCCGCUGUUCUGACGGUACCCAAAGAAUAAGCACCGGCUAACUUCGU
RNAcentral lists this ribosomal RNA (491 nucleotides) under uncultured bacterium. RNAcentral's name for it is "partial 16S ribosomal RNA". It matches the Rfam family "Bacterial small subunit ribosomal RNA", at positions 29 to 506 of the family's 1533-position model. The record is from RNAcentral.